CCUGGCUCAUGACGAACGCUGGCGGCGCGCCUAACACAUGCAAGUCGAACGAGCGAGAGAGAGCUUGCUUUCUCGAGCGAGUGACGAACGGGUGAGUAACGCGUGAGGAACCUGCCUCAUAGAGGGGGACAACAGUUGGAAACGACUGCUAAUACCGCAUAAGCCCACGGGUCGGCAUCGACCAGAGGGAAAAGGAGCAAUCCGCUUUGAGAUGGCCUCGCGUCCGAUUAGCUGGUUGGUGAGGUAACGGCCCACCAAGGCAACGAUCGGUAGCCGGACUGAGAGGUUGAACGGCCACAUUGGGACUGAGACACGGCCCAGACUCCUACGGGAGGCAGCAGUGGGGAAUAUUGCACAAUGGGGGAAACCCUGAUGCAGCGACGCCGCGUGGAGGAAGAAGGUCUUCGGAUUGUAAACUCCUGUUGUUGAGGAAGAUAAUGACGGUACUCAACAAGGAAGUGACGGCUAACUACGUGCCAGCAGCCGCGGUAAAACGUAUGUCACAAGCGUUGUCCGGAAUUACUGGGUGUAAAGGGAGCGCAGGCGGGAAGACAAGUUGGAAGUGAAAUCCAUGGGCUCAACCCAUGAACUGCUUUCAAAACUGUUUUUCUUGAGUAGUGCAGAGGUAGGCGGAAUUCCCGGUGUAGCGGUGGAAUGCGUAGAUAUCGGGAGGAACACCAGUGGCGAAGGCGGCCUACUGGGCACCAACUGACGCUGAGGCUCGAAAGUGUGGGUAGCAAACAGGAUUAGAUACCCUGGUAGUCCACACUGUAAACGAUGAUUACUAGGUGUUGGAGGAUUGACCCCUUCAGUGCCGCAGUUAACACAAUAAGUAAUCCACCUGGGGAGUACGACCGCAAGGUUGAAACUCAAAGGAAUUGACGGGGGCCCGCACAAGCAGUGGAGUAUGUGGUUUAAUUCGACGCAACGCGAAGAACCUUACCAAGUCUUGACAUCCCUUGACGAUGCUGGAAACAGUAUUUCUCUUCGGAGCAAGGAGACAGGUGGUGCAUGGUUGUCGUCAGCUCGUGUCGUGAGAUGUUGGGUUAAGUCCCGCAACGAGCGCAACCCUUAUGGUCAGUUACUACGCAAGAGGACUCUGGCCAGACUGCCGUUGACAAAACGGAGGAAGGUGGGGAUGACGUCAAAUCAUCAUGCCCUUUAUGACUUGGGCUACACACGUACUACAAUGGCGUUAAACAAAGAGAAGCAAGACCGCGAGGUGGAGCAAAACUCAGAAACAACGUCCCAGUUCGGACUGCAGGCUGCAACUCGCCUGCACGAAGUCGGAAUUGCUAGUAAUCGCAGAUCAGCAUGCCGCGGUGAAUACGUUCCCGGGCCUUGUACACAC
This 1351-nucleotide ribosomal RNA is filed under the name uncultured bacterium. Its description in RNAcentral is "bacterial SSU rRNA". It matches the Rfam family "Bacterial small subunit ribosomal RNA", at positions 18 to 1390 of the family's 1533-position model. The record is from RNAcentral.